AAGACGAUGGCGGAGGCCUAACACAUGCAAGUCGAGCGGAAACGAGUUAUCUGAACCUUCGGGGAACGAUAACGGCGUCGAGCGGCGGACGGGUGAGUAAUGCCUAGGAAAUUGCCCUGAUGUGGGGGAUAACCAUUGGAAACGAUGGCUAAUACCGCAUGAUGCCUACGGGCCAAAGAGGGGGACCUUCGGGCCUCUCGCGUCAGGAUAUGCCUAGGUGGGAUUAGCUAGUUGGUGAGGUAAGGGCUCACCAAGGCGACGAUCCCUAGCUGGUCUGAGAGGAUGAUCAGCCACACUGGAACUGAGACACGGUCCAGACUCCUACGGGAGGCAGCAGUGGGGAAUAUUGCACAAUGGGCGCAAGCCUGAUGCAGCCAUGCCGCGUGUGUGAAGAAGGCCUUCGGGUUGUAAAGCACUUUCAGUCGUGAGGAAGGUGGUAGUGUUAAUAGCACUAUCAUUUGACGUUAGCGACAGAAGAAGCACCGGCUAACUCCGUGCCAGCAGCCGCGGUAAUACGGAGGGUGCGAGCGUUAAUCGGAAUUACUGGGCGUAAAGCGCAUGCAGGUGGUUUGUUAAGUCAGAUGUGAAAGCCCGGGGCUCAACCUCGGAAUAGCAUUUGACACUGGCAGACUAGGAGUACUGUAGAGGGGGGUACAAUUUGCACGUGUAGCGGAUGAAAUGCGUAUAGAUCUGACUGAAUACCGGUGCCGAUGCCGACCCUCUGAACAGAUACUGACACUCACAUGCGAAAGCGUGCCUAUCGGAGAGCAAUAAUUUACCCUGGAUCGCUAAGCCGCUAUACAAUGUCUAGUGAGUAGAUGUGCCGAUAGGCCCCCCGCCUUGUCGGCACUAACGACAUUAAGUAGACAACCCGUGGAGUACAGACGGUAAAUAUC
Molecule: ribosomal RNA, 896 nt
Filed under: uncultured bacterium
Lineage: Bacteria
Description: bacterial SSU rRNA
Rfam family: Bacterial small subunit ribosomal RNA
Source: RNAcentral